This 240-nucleotide unclassified non-coding RNA is filed under the name soil metagenome. RNAcentral's name for it is "partial contains 5.8S ribosomal RNA, internal transcribed spacer 2, and large subunit ribosomal RNA". The record is from RNAcentral.
AACAAGGCGUACCUGCGGACCUGCGGAGGGAUCAUUACUGAGUCACGUGCUCAAACAACCCUUCUGUGGACCUGAAAUAAAACCGUUGCCUCGGCGGGCGGUCCCCCCCCAAACCAACCCCACGUGGUGGGUUAGGGGAGACCAGACAGUCCGGUACGCUUAAGGCGUCCGGCGCCAGCCGCUGGCCCCAAACAAUUAAACUCUAGUAAUCUUUACCUUCUGAGUUUCAAUAUUUAAAAA